CUUCUCUUCAGAGCACUGUCCGUGUCUGGUAUGGUUUCUCCCACACAGACUGCACACACUGGGGCUGACGGUCCCUCCUGGGCCCUGAUGGCCUUUCCUGUGAGCCCCCGGGAGUAAGCCAUCAUAAAUGGCAGCUAAGCCACUAGAGGCGGUAGGUUUCUUUGCAGUUCCCUGUCUGGACUCUUGGCUUGGACUCUCGGGGGGGUCAGCUCUAGCCUCUAGGAGCCUCUUCCUGCGACCACGUCUAUCUUUUCUCACGGCGGAUUCAGGGGCUUUGAAGUCAAACUCAUCCCCAGGCAGCUAUCGACCGCCUGUCAUGUCUGCUGCUUAAGCCACAGUUAGCCAGCUUCCUACACUUGACCCUGUAAUUGAAUUUCCUUGGGAACUCAGUGACAAGAUUGAUUCCUCCUAAUUGAGUCAGAGAUGGACUCCGAGCGCCAUUCAUACUGUCCUUGUUUGCCUGGGGCUCUCUGGGCUGAGGCCCCCGACUUUCACAGAGUUUACUUCAGCUGUCAAGACCCUUUUACUUUAAAUGAUGCUGCAGACGUUUUGGGGGGGACAGAGGAAAUGCCUGUUUUUAAGUUUGCUCUGCGUUCUCAUUGAAGAAGUGCAAUUCUAAGAAAAGAAGCGAACCAGAACAGAACGAAAGUCCAGCCUUGUUCAACAGCAAGUUUGGAAAUGAGUGCAAAGUCGGCCGGCUUCUUGCGAGUCAGCAACUUAACCGUUUCUCUGUCUGCUGGGCUCCCGAUGUGACUCAAUAGGUGGGAGACCUGACUGACAGCUGCCAGGCCUUCCCAAGGCCCAGCUGAAGCUACAGUUAACAAGGACAAACCAAGCACCGACCCAGAACUGCAGAGAGGAAGGCUGAAUCAGGGUCCCCAGCUGUCGCCGCCACAGUUCCCGAGUCCGCCAUAUUGCCCCUGUGACUGAAGGGCUUGCGGCCAUUCCCACAGAGGCUGUGGGAGCUGCCAAUCCAGUAGCCUCGGUUAUUUAUUUAUCCAGCCUUUAUCAGGACCAUCACUGAUAGUUUUUAGACCCUCGCAGCCACCUGCAGGAGCCAGUUGCUGAACUGACGCAGCUGUCUUGACCACCACCCUAAGGCUGAGCUGUGUGGGAGCCUCUGCCUAGGCCGUGGCAACUUCAGGUGGUGCUCACAGGAUGAUGUCCACUGAGUCUUCCCAUGUCCCUGCCCACACGUGCUUCAGCCUUUAUGAUGACAAACUUAAGUGAAUGAGGAAGACGUUGACAGUAGAGUAGACUAAACUAGUUGCAUGCAGGGGCUGCUAAUCCCAGACACACAAGCCACCCAUAGUGGGGGACAAAGGAGUCCAGUGAACAACUGUGAGCAGAGACUUUGGGCAGCUGAAGCUGGGAAGAACUGCUGGGGUGCAGCAAAGGAGAGCGAUGUCUGUGAGCGCAUCGCUCAGCCCUCAUCAGAGAAGCUUCAUGCAGGGGAUGGAAAUUACCACAGAGACCCACAACUGCUCAAGGUGCAGAGAACAAGAGGCUACAGAAUGCUCUACCCUAAGGGGACAUCUCUAUCACACAUCUCCCCACCCAAGGCAUGGGGAUUAUUGUGGGAGGAGGGCCGGAAAGGGCAUAGGUGGUGGAUGGACCUAAAGAAAUGGCGUUUCCCCCACAGCAGAGCAUCAGCGCAUGUGAACGCACGGCAGUGUGGGCAGUGUGGGCAGUGUGGGCAGUGUGGGCAGUGUGGGCAGUGUGGGCAGUGUGUUGUCAAAGUUCAAACCAGACCGAAUCCAGGAGCGGGAGGGAGGUGCGCACAAAAGCUCACCCCUGGUUAAGGAACUGCUGGCUGCUGGGAGACAGGGAGUCCGUGUUCUUUAAGGGCGAGGCCCCUGGUAGGUUGACCAUGUUCCAUUGGAAGCCACACAUCCAAGAGUCCAUGGCAGCACCAACCGUACUUGACAGGUUAAAAAGGAAAAAAAAAGGAAGGCACAAAGUCGGGCGGGUAGGGAAGUAGGGUAGAUGAGGACGAGUGGCAGGGGUUGAAUAUGACCAAAAUACACCACGAACUUCUCAAAGAACUAACAAAAAAGGAAAAAAGAAUUACACCACAUUGUGACUGCUAAAACUUCUUAUAAACCUCAUUUUGCGUAUCUAUCCAUUCAUGAGAAGACCACACACACAUCUUUGUCGAUUUUGGCUUUUUUUGAGAAAGGGCUAAACAUAGUCCUGGUUAACCCGAGUUUAUUGUGUCCACCAGGCUGGCCUUGAGUUUAACGUAAUCCUCCUGCCUCUGCCUCUUGCGUCCUGAGUACUAGGAUUACAGACUUGUACUACCACAGCUAAAUUUAUUUUUAAUAUUAUCUUGUGAAAUGUGAUUGGCAAUCAAAACGCACUUCGCGCUAUGUGCUGGGGAUGAGCUCAGCUGGUUGACUGCUUGCCCAGUGUGCACGAAGCCCCGAGUCCACCCUCGGCACCGCACAAGCCAAGCAUCCUGGCUGUCCUAGCACCCAGGAGGUGGAGGCUGGAGGAUCAGGAGUUCAGGGUUAUCCUUGGCUACAAAUUCAAAGCCAGCUUGGGCUAUAGGAGUCGCUUUCUCCAAAAAGAAAAACCGGAUUUAUAAAAGGAAAUGGAACAACCUGUCUAGGGGGGUUAAAAAGGCCGUAAUGAAAUACCAAAAUUGACAUUUCAAAAUAAUCUCAGUUCAAAAAAAAUAUUUUUUUUUCAUGCACGGUGGGAAUAUAAAUCAGUAAAACUUUCAACUUGUCCAUACAGGGCUGGAGAGAUGACUCACUGACUGCUCUUCCAAAGGACCCAGGUUCGAUUCCCAGCACCUACAUGGUAGCUCACAACUAUCCAUACCUCCAGGGGAUCUGGCACCCUCAUACAGACAUACAUGCAGGGAAAACCCCAAUGUACAUUAAAUAAAUAAAUUAAUUUUAAAAAUGUUGUCCAUGCAUACCACAAAUCCCAUAAAGCUGGGGGCUGGAGAGAGGGCUCAGCCUUAGUGGCUAUGGGUCACAACCAAUCGAGUGGGGAGGUAGUAAAGUAAGAAUGGUUUUUAGUUUCUUGUUUCUUUUUAAAAUUUAUUUUAGAUUUAUUCAUUUUCUUUUCUAUGUGAAUACCCACUGUUUCCCAUAGAGACCAGAAGAGGACAUUGUGUGAGGAUUAAUUCCUGUACCAUUUCUGCCCUCAGCUUCCGGAUAUAAAAACUGUCGAUGAGCGAGUCUGCACCCUGAGAUUCAGAGUGGAACUGACUGGUUGUUUUUCAUGUAAAAAGCUUUAGGUUUGUGAUUGCUUUAAGAUUUCUUAUAAUCUUUAUUAUUUGAGUAAUAAAGUGAUUGAUCCUUUCUUUGUAACCGCAGAAAUGCAGCCUGCCAGUAAAAGAACUGGCUGAGAAAAACACCUUGCUUGCUUACACUCUGUUAAUCUAUAGCAAGCUGCUUGGGUACAAUGUAUGUGGGUUCUUGGGACAACUUGUUUUUCACCUGGAAUUUGUCAGAUGUUCGGUCACGUAAGGGAAAUAGAAAACAUGCUGAUUUUUACUUGUGUUCAUUG
Long non-coding RNA from Alexandromys fortis (reed vole), 3522 nucleotides. RefSeq lists it as uncharacterized. Lineage: Eukaryota; Metazoa; Chordata; Mammalia; Rodentia; Cricetidae. The record is from RefSeq and is a predicted model, not a curated record. The transcript has 4 exons.